The sequence is a transfer RNA, 72 nucleotides long. It matches the Rfam family "tRNA". From Rfam's summary of the family: Transfer RNA (tRNA) molecules are approximately 80 nucleotides in length. Their secondary structure includes four short double-helical elements and three loops (D, anti-codon, and T loops). Further hydrogen bonds mediate the characteristic L-shaped molecular structure. tRNAs have two regions of fundamental functional importance: the anti-codon, which is responsible for specific mRNA codon recognition, and the 3' end, to which the tRNAs corresponding amino acid is attached (by aminoacyl-tRNA synthetases). tRNAs cope with the degeneracy of the genetic code in two manners: having more than one tRNA (with a specific anti-codon) for a particular amino acid; and 'wobble' base-pairing, i.e. permitting non-standard base-pairing at the 3rd anti-codon position.
CCCCGGUAGCUCAGUUGGUAGAGCAGCCGCCUCGUAAGCGGAAGGUCGAGGGUUCAAAUCCCUCCCGGGGCU